AAAUGUUGUGCCUGAUAAAAGGACUAUCUUGAUAUGAUAAAAAUGUGAAAUUUCACCCUCAUU
RNAcentral lists this transfer RNA (63 nucleotides) under Eucnemidae sp. 4 ACP-2013. RNAcentral describes it as "tRNA-Ile". The record is from RNAcentral. Lineage: Eukaryota; Metazoa; Arthropoda; Insecta; Coleoptera; Eucnemidae.